This is a long non-coding RNA of Passer montanus (Eurasian tree sparrow), 316 nucleotides long. RefSeq lists it as uncharacterized. The record is from RefSeq and is a predicted model, not a curated record. The transcript has 3 exons. Lineage: Eukaryota; Metazoa; Chordata; Aves; Passeriformes; Passeridae.
GUUUGGUCAUCCUCUAGCAUGGACUAAGCCCUGUGGUGCCUGUGUCCCACCUGUGUGCCUCUGCCUGGGUGCUGCUUUGGGGAUCCCCUGGUUGGUGAGGAUCUCUGGACCAGCACUGAAUGAAUGCCUCAUUUGACCUUGAUCUAGAAGAUGUUGAGGCCGCUGGAGUACAGGACUCAGGGGAGGGGGUAGCAGCAAUAUUUCUCCACUCCCUCCUCGAGGUGUCAAGCUGUCUCCCAGCUGGUCCCUGAUUUGGCUUCGGUCAUCUUCUGAUGGUGUGUCCUUUCCAGACAGCCCUCCAGUUGAUGGCGUGGAG